GGAAGGGUGCCAGAAUUGGCUUAUUGGGACGGCCUCGAAAGCCGUUGGGUUAUGUUAGCCCUUGUGGGUUCGAAUCCCACCCCUUCCG
Molecule: transfer RNA, 88 nt
Filed under: Candidatus Parcubacteria bacterium
Lineage: Bacteria; Candidatus Parcubacteria
Also listed under: 1 other name
Description: tRNA-Ser
Rfam family: tRNA
About the family: Transfer RNA (tRNA) molecules are approximately 80 nucleotides in length. Their secondary structure includes four short double-helical elements and three loops (D, anti-codon, and T loops).
Source: RNAcentral